GCUUCGCCCGGAUAGCGCGGCGCCGGUGUGCUGACCGGGCGCAGGGUGGGCGCUGCCGGUGCGGCGGCCUGGCGUGCGGCGCUGGCCUGCUGGGCGGCAGCCUGCUGCUGCUUCUGCUCGGCCUCGCGGCGGGCGGCGGCCUGGCGCUCGGCUUCCUGGCGCUCGUUGUCGCGGCGCGCGGCAUCCUGCUGCGCGGCAAUCUGCUUGGCGGCGUCGGCUUCCUUGGCGCGCUGCUCGCUCAGGCGCUGCUGCUCGGUCUGCUGCUUGCUGCGGUCCUCGGCGUCCUUCUUGGCCUUCUCGGCUUCCGCUUCGGUGCGCUUGGCUGCGUUCUUCAUCGAU
RNAcentral lists this unclassified non-coding RNA (339 nucleotides) under uncultured Ascomycota. RNAcentral's name for it is "sequence contains ITS1". The record is from RNAcentral. Lineage: Eukaryota; Fungi; Ascomycota.